This 252-nucleotide ribosomal RNA is filed under the name uncultured bacterium. RNAcentral's name for it is "partial 16S ribosomal RNA". It matches the Rfam family "Bacterial small subunit ribosomal RNA", at positions 524 to 776 of the family's 1533-position model. The record is from RNAcentral.
GACAGAGGAUGCAAGCGUUAUCCGGAAUGAUUGGGCGUAAAGCGUCUGUAGGUGGCUUUUAAGUCUGCCGUCAAAUCCCAGGGCUUAACCCUGGACAGGCGGUGGAAACUACCAAGCUGGAGUACGGUAGGGGCAGAGGGAAUUUCCGGUGGAGCGGUGAAAUGCGCAGAUAUCAGGAGGAACACCAAUGGCGAAGGCAGCUCGCUGGGACGGUACUGACGCUGAGGCGCGAAAGCGUGGGGAGCAAACAGG